UGUUGUAUAGUUAACAUUACGUCAUUGGACGACGAGAUUACAAGAGAUUGCACCACGACAUGCAACUCAAAACAAGUUACGUCAUGGUAUAUUUUGGCCGUCAGGGAUUGCACCACGAAGUGCAACUCAAAGAAAAACCUUAUGAUUGGACAAAUAAUAACAAGAACCUCUUUUCCUUUUUGACGUUUGCUUUGCUGGAACUUUUAUUGGAUGUUUAGAUUUAUUGCACCAUCUAUUGUUUAAUCUUAUAUAAAUUUGAGCUUUUAGUUUAGAGAUUUAGAGAAGUUGUAAUUUAGACGCUAGUUUGACGCUGAUGAAGAUAAAGAUAAAGACCAGUCGCCGUUUCUCUCUCUCUGACGUUCUUCUGCCGCCGCUAAAGUAAAGAUUCAGAAGCAAGGUCGUAAGUUAAAGCCCUGAAUUUUAUUGUGUAUUUGUUAAAGUAGUAAGAACUCACACAAUUUCAUGUUAUACUCAACACUGUCGUUCAACCUCAAGUAUAACAAUAUUGUUUAGAAAAAGAAGAAACUCGAAUUUUUUUGCAAUUCUUAUCUUAACUACAAUUCCCUGAUGAAUGUUCUAUUAUUUCCCGUUAAAACUUUCAGCUUAAACCUUUUUGUUACUUGGAACAGCUGUUUAAAUUUUCUUUAGUUAACAGAACGGCCUUUGGCGAAGGGUGCAAUAUACUUUCGGACCAUGAGUGUGAAACCUUAAGAGAAUUUUGGGGCAUAACUCCUCAUGACUGUAUGAUGAAGGUUUCAUACAUUUGAAAAAGAAAAUGUUGCUUGAUUUUUCUCAACGACGUCUUCCGAGAUGACAUAUCCUUCAUUCUUUGAUUUAUUAUGCUUCAAAGAGGGUCAGUGUUCCAUGGGCUCCGACGCAGGUUGGAAAGUAGGGGGGGGAAGGGAAAAUUCAGCAGUCAUAACAAUUUAACAGUGGGGGGGGGGGCAUGCACUGUGUUUAUUUCCUUCUUGCAUCAAACACACGUUUCUCUCUGUCUAUACUUUCACUGUCGAUCAAUACUCCAGACUCUACUUCUGCAUCUCGAGGCGAAGAUAAACAUGUACGUCGAGCUCGAAACGAAAGACAGAAAUGUAAUUAUGUUGCUGCUGCUUGCCUCGUAUCUGUUUUGUUUUCCCAGCUGGGCGGAGAUUGAAAAAAGAGCAGAUAAAAAGACCAUUACUUCAAAAGCCAAGCUGGGGCAAGGAGUGGCAAUAAAUGUGCGAUCUAAACAAAAUUUCCAGAUUUGCCCAACCAAUAUACUGGUAGCCAUAAAUUUGCCCGAGAAAAUCUGCUUUUUUGAAGAUUGGGGGGAGUGCAGCACCCCCAUACCCUCCCCCAGCAGUUUCGGCCCUGUAAUUAAAAACAAAAGCAUGAAUAACUAAAACGAAUUAAUAUUUAAAUAUAACCUAAAUGUACAAUAUAACUCUUACAUAAUUUAUAGUUGCAUGUAAAAUUCCAAAACUUAAUAUCCUUUUUGGAUAAUGUCUUACGCAUAAGGACUCCUUUAUAUGCAGUGGUAAGUCUCUCCAAAGAUUUUGUCCUAGGAAGCAUAUAUUUUCUAAUCCAUAGGCUGUAGUCCUAGUUUUACGUGCAUAUAUUAUAUGUUGAUCGUAACUCUUUGUCGUAACUCGCAACUCGUAACUCGUAAGUUAUAAUACAUAUCUCUAUGCACGAACAUUUCUUUCAUAAAAGGAGGAUUCAGAUUCAUCAUUGUUCGGUAGAUUUUGGCGACAAGCAACUGCAGAUUUCGUUGAUGAAUGGAGACUGAAUUAUCUGUAAUUAACAGUUCUUGAAAACUGAAGGUCCAAUUUUGAUAUUCGUAGUGCUCAUUUGUGAAUGUGGUUGAUUUUUGCGUUAACACGUCUCUCAUGAAACAUCCAUAUCAACGGACAGUAGCUAAACUGAGACAUUAUAACGGCUCUCAUGACCAUUAUAGUUUUUUCUUUGGGCAUAUACAGUGAGGCCCGUGCAAACCGUGUUUAAAUGUUGUUUAAAAUUGAGCUUUUGGUCAAUUUAAACGCCUAACAAUUUUUCUUCUUUGCUCUCUUUAAUCACAGAGGGGCCAACAUUGAUUGAGAUUUCUGUGUCUUUUUUACCAAAUACUAGGAGGUGGCAUUUUUCUUCAUUCAAUUUCAUAAAAUUUUCUGCAAACCAAUUGCUUAGUUUCUAGCUUUAAAGUAACCUCCUGUAACUCUUGAUGAGAACAGUAAAUUUUCGUAUCAUCUGCAUAAUUACAGAUUUCAGUCCCAUUCAACAAAAAGAAAAUAUCAUCGACAAAUAUAUUAAACAAAAGAGGCCCUAGAACUGAUCCAUGAUGGACGCCUUAUUUCAUUUCUUUCCAAGAGCUGAAUGAGCCAUUUACUUUGACUCCUUGCCUUCUACCUUCUACGUUAGAUAGCUAUGCACCAUUUGUAUGGCAUUUGUACUAAAGCCGUUUGCAUUCAAUUUAGGAAGCAAAUGUUCGUGGUUGAGACAAUCAAAACAAUGGAUAAGUCCAUUAAGACUGCUCCGACAAAGCCUUUGUUGUCUAAGCUCUUCUUACAAAUCUCCAUCAAUUUUAGCAGAGCAUGCUGGGUAUUGUACCCCUGUCGAUUGCCACAAAUUUUAGGAGCCCCAUUCAGAAUCUACGUUUCUGGUGAUGCCAAGGUUAUUAUUGUUAGGCUGCUCGAUGGACUCUAGAUGACAAGGAACGCGAAACAGACCAAGAAUUUACAGAUCUUAGAUGGAACAAGGCCGAACAAGUUGAUGGCGAGACACUGAUACUAUCAUUUGAAUGACCAAAGAAACAUGUGAAAUGGAACAUUACCCCUUAACACUAAGUCUGCCUUCACUGUCAGGUGACGAUCGCAAUAAUGAACCAUGAGCUGCUUGUGGAGGCGGUGGAAAAAAGUUCACAUAGAGAAACUCUGCCGUCUUCUGUUAACACCGACAGUUUUGAACUUUUUCAAGCCUUUUUGAAGAUUUAUAUUUCAUCUUACUUUUUUAAAAAUAGAUGAGUAGGACAGGCAAGAACAGGUUCAAAUAAUCAAAUAACUGAAAAACCAAAAAUCACAUGCCUAUGAAAAUUUGAGCGCUGUUGGCUUCCUUAAAAGGAAAAUAUUUUUUCUGAAGAUAUUUUCUGAAACCUUAAUUUUUGUUGCCUCGGAUGAUGUUGGGGAGGCCUCUUCCUGAAAAUUCCUGAAAAUGUAUGCCCAAUCCCAGCCUCAUGUAUUGCACUCAUUUUUAUAAGAAAAUUGCGAUAAGAAAUAACCAAUGGAUAAUAAAGAAGAAUUAAGAAACUUCAGAGCUUGAAGCUUCAGUGCAUGCGGAGAAAAAUCAAUUGCGCUUUAUGAUAUUUUUUGUGCUAUUUUGAAGUAAGAUAGACUCCGUAUACAGCUUUAACUUCAAGACAUCAUCUCAAUUAAGUUUGCUUUUUCAAUUUGCUUCAAAAAAGACACUGAGCCUUAAGACCAAGACCGAGAUAAUGAUUUCCUGCCCGUAAUGUAUUUUGGGGUUUUUAUGUGAUAUCUUUCAGUAGAUUUCAAAAAAAGCUAUAAACCAUUUCAACUAAGGUGUUUCAAAUUGGAGAAGCAUUGGAAAGAUUCCUCUCAAGGCUACAGUAGCUGAACGAUGACAAGCCUCUCGGUGGUAGCUGGAAGAAACAUCCAAUUGGGAAUGUUGCAUAACAGGGACUAUAGUCCUCCUCAACUUUUUUGCAAUAAUAAGUUAGAAAAUGUUUUGAAAGUUUACGCUGACGAACGCAUUAGUAGCAGUUCUUCUAGGAACACGUUUUUGUUCUUUUUGAUGAUGCUUUAUCUUGUUUGAUCAAAGAUAAAUUUUUAUUUCAUCUAACUCGGUUUUGUUAAUUGAAAUCUUCUUUAAAUCGUUCAAGAUGACAAGGACAGAAAAAAGCAAAUAUUUUCUGAAAGGAGUGGUUUCCGGUGUUUCAAAGGGUGUGGCCAUUAAAAAAAUUUAGGGGCAAGCCUGCUAGUCCCGUUCCAGCCGCUCCCUUGUGGGCUGGUGCCAGUGUGACCUGAUCUAGCGUAAUAUUAACAUGAUAUUGGCCGAAAAUCGCCAUUUAGCAUAAAAUCUAGCAUAAUUUGGAAUCCAGCCUAACUCUGGCAUAAUUGUUUCCAUUGAUCCAUUGUCUAUCGUUACCAAAUGCAAACACUUUACACCAGCAUCUGUGGUUUCAUUUUGGGAGUAAAUUUUGACUUUCUACCUUCAGGUUAUUGCCAACUGUUUUGAAUGGUUGGCAGCCACAUAUUUGUGGUUGGCAGCCAAAUGCAGCCAACUAAACGCAGUAUACAAAAAAGCUAAAUUUUUGCUAAUUAUUGGGAGUGAUACUGUAAUUAAAAUUUGCUUUGUAUGUUACAAAAGUUUUCGCUUGCUUUGAUCUAAAACUGUCUGUUAUCUUUUGCUUUGUUUCAUCAUUCAUCAGUUGCAAUUUUGAAAUUAUUUUGAAUAUUAUCUGUGAACAAUUUUUGUUUUCUUUGCA
Molecule: long non-coding RNA, 4477 nt
Organism: Rhopilema esculentum
Lineage: Eukaryota; Metazoa; Cnidaria; Scyphozoa; Rhizostomeae; Rhizostomatidae
Source: RefSeq, a predicted model, not a curated record